Molecule: ribosomal RNA, 859 nt
Filed under: uncultured bacterium
Lineage: Bacteria
Description: bacterial SSU rRNA
Rfam family: Bacterial small subunit ribosomal RNA
Source: RNAcentral
GACGGAGGGUGCAAGCGUUGCUCGGAUUUACUGGGCGUAAAGAGCACGUAGGCGGCUAGGUAAGUCUGAUGUGAAAGCCCACGACUCAAUCGUGGAAGUGCAUUGGAUACUGCUUAGCUAGAAUGCAGGAGAGGUGAGCGGAAUUCCAGGUGUAGAGGUGAAAUUCGUAGAUAUCUGGAGGAACAACGGAGGCGAAGGCGGCUCACUGGACUGAUAUUGACGCUGAGGUGCGAAAGUGUGGGGAGCAAACGGGAUUAGAUACCCCGGUAGUCCACACCGUAAACGAUGAGUACUAGUUGUCGGAACCAUCCUACUGUUUCGGUGACGAAGCUAACGCAUUAAGUACUCCGCCUGGGGAUUACGGCCGCAAGGCUAAAACUCAAAGAAAUUGACGGGGGCCCGCACAAGCGGUGGAGGAUGUGGUUUAAUUCGAUGCAACGCGAAAAACCUUACCUAGGCUUGACAUCCCGCGCUACCCUGUGAAAGCAGGGGUUCUCUUCGGAGACGCGGUGACAGGUGCUGCAUGGCUGUCGUCAGCUCGUGUCGUGAGAUGUUGGGUUAAGUCCCGCAACGAGCGCAACCCUCGCCAUUAGUUGCCAGCAUUAAGUUGGGCACUCUAAUGGGACCGCUUGCCGAUAAGGCAGAGGAAGGUGGGGAUGACGUCAAGUCCGCAUGGCCCUUACGCCUAGGGCCACACACGUCCUACAAUGGCUAGUACAAAGUGUCGCUAUCCUGUGAAGGAGUGCUAAUCACAAAAAGCUAGUCUCAGUUCGGAUUGGAGUCUGCAACUCGACUCCAUGAAGUUGGAAUCGCUAGUAAUCGCGGAUCAGCAUGCCGCGGUGAAUACGUUCCCGGGCCU